AUAGUUACCACGACGUCCAAGGCUUGUCCUACCCAAAGAACUUAAACUUCUUUUAAAUUCUAACUCUGCAGAUGGAGACAGUGAACGCAGAUGGAGGAAUGCGUCGUGUGAAGGAAGAAGAAAGGAAAAUUCCUGAGGCGUUAGGAGGGGCUCAGGCUGAGAGAUGUUCGGCGUGUCCUGUACAUCCUGGUCAGGAGACUCAGCAAAGGUCAGGGUCGAAGGCUGUAGGAUCUGGUUCCAUAUUGCUGGUGAAGCUGUGCAGGCUCCACAGACUGUGGUAGGAUGGUCCAGGGGACAGGCAGAGUGCAGCUGAACUCCACUGGACUUGGGCCACAGCCCCUGCAGCUCCUCUGGAAAGGCGGGCCAGGAGGAGCCUGGAAGAGGCUGGGGAAGGAAAGGGCUGGUCUUCCACUGAUGCGGCCAGCAGGCCUGCCCUGAGGGUGUGUCUGCAUUUCGGGGAACUU
This is a long non-coding RNA of Mus spicilegus (steppe mouse), 464 nucleotides long. NCBI's taxonomy places the organism in Eukaryota, Metazoa, Chordata, Mammalia, Rodentia, Muridae. The record is from Ensembl.